RNAcentral lists this ribosomal RNA (433 nucleotides) under uncultured bacterium. RNAcentral describes it as "bacterial SSU rRNA". It matches the Rfam family "Bacterial small subunit ribosomal RNA", at positions 28 to 507 of the family's 1533-position model. The record is from RNAcentral.
GAUGAACGCUGGCGGCGUGCUUAACACAUGCAAGUCGAACGAACCUUCGGGGUUAGUGGCGGACGGGUGAGUAACGCGUGAGAAUCUGCCCUCAGGAGGGGGAUAACGGCUGGAAACGGCCGCUAAUACCCCAUAUGCCGAGAGGUGAAAUGAAUUUCGCCUGAGGAUGAGCUCGCGUCUGAUUAGCUUGUUGGUGGGGUAAUGGCCUACCAAGGCGACGAUCAGUAGCUGGUCUGAGAGGAUGAUCAGCCACACUGGGACUGAGACACGGCCCAGACUCCUACGGGAGGCAGCAGUGGGGAAUUUUCCGCAAUGGGCGAAAGCCUGACGGAGCAACGCCGCGUGAGGGAUGAAGGCCUCUGGGCUGUAAACCUCUUUUAUCAAGGAAGAAGAUCUGACGGUACUUGAUGAAUAAGCCACGGCUAAUUCCGUG